GAUGAACGCUGGCGGCGUGCCUAAUACAUGCAAGUCGAGCGAGCAGACGAGGAGCUUGCUCCUCUGACGUUAGCGGCGGACGGGUGAGUAACACGUGGAUAACCUACCUAUAAGACUGGGAUAACUGCGGGAAACCGGAGCUAAUACCGGAUAAUAUAUUGAACCGCAUGGUUCAAUAGUGAAAGACGGUUUUGCUGUCACUUAUAGAUGGAUCCGCGCCGCAUUAGCUAGUUGGUAAGGUAACGGCUUACCAAGGCAACGAUGCGUAGCCGACCUGAGAGGGUGAUCGGCCACACUGGAACUGAGACACGGUCCAGACUCCUACGGGAGGCAGCAGUAGGGAAUCUUCCGCAAUGGGCGAAAGCCUGACGGAGCAACGCCGCGUGAGUGAUGAAGGUCUUCGGAUCGUAAAACUCUGUUAUUAGGGAAGAACAAAUGUGUAAGUAACUAUGCACGUCUUGACGGUACCUAAUCAGAAAGCCACGGCUAACUACGUG
This 497-nucleotide ribosomal RNA is filed under the name uncultured bacterium. RNAcentral's name for it is "partial 16S ribosomal RNA". It matches the Rfam family "Bacterial small subunit ribosomal RNA", at positions 28 to 507 of the family's 1533-position model. The record is from RNAcentral.